GACUCUGGGUGGUGGAUGACUUGGCUCAUUUGUCUACUAAGAAUGUAGCUAGCUGUAAGAGUUAUCGUGAAUGGAGGACACAUUGAUCACUGACAGUUUGAACUCAAUUAUGGCCCUGGGUUCAUUGCGUGGCUAUGCCUGUCUGAGCAUUA
RNAcentral lists this ribosomal RNA (152 nucleotides) under Sphenodon punctatus (tuatara). RNAcentral describes it as "5.8S ribosomal RNA (ENSSPUG00000017324.1)". It matches the Rfam family "5.8S ribosomal RNA". From Rfam's summary of the family: 5.8S ribosomal RNA (5.8S rRNA) is a component of the large subunit of the eukaryotic ribosome. It is transcribed by RNA polymerase I as part of the 45S precursor that also contains 18S and 28S rRNA. Lineage: Eukaryota; Metazoa; Chordata; Lepidosauria; Sphenodontia; Sphenodontidae. The record is from Rfam by way of RNAcentral.